Molecule: long non-coding RNA, 387 nt
Filed under: Gossypium barbadense (sea-island cotton)
Lineage: Eukaryota; Viridiplantae; Streptophyta; Magnoliopsida; Malvales; Malvaceae
Description: long non-coding RNA (GBAR_LNC023100)
Source: RNAcentral
CUCUUUGUUUUUGGCUUUCUAAUUCUCGAAUCUGUGUUUCUCAUCAUUUCCUUUUUUGCUUCCAUAUUCUCAAAUCUGUGUUUCUGGUCAUUCCCUUUUUUGCUUCCAUAUUCUGAAAUCUGUGUCUGUGAUCAUCACCUAAAAAAAGAAAAAAAAAAACUGUGUCUGUGAUAAUUUCCACUAUUUGUUUUUCAGUUUUCACAUUUUCUUGUAUUGUCUCAAUUAAGGGGAAAAAAAAAACCAAAAAAAAAAGCCAGCAAACUUUCUUCAUACCUUGAUUUCCACUUGGCAAAAGAAACAGCGCAUAGGAGAGUUCAGUGAAGGUAAGUUUUGAGGAACUGCUCCUCAUUGCUAUAUAUUUUCAUGUUUUUGUUGAGUGGAUCUCCG